This 732-nucleotide ribosomal RNA is filed under the name uncultured bacterium. RNAcentral's name for it is "bacterial SSU rRNA". It matches the Rfam family "Bacterial small subunit ribosomal RNA", at positions 97 to 827 of the family's 1533-position model. The record is from RNAcentral.
GGCGCACGGGUGCGUAACGGCGUAUGCAACCUACCUAUUACAGGGGGAUAGCCUCCGGAAACCGAAAUUAAUACCCCAUGGCUUCUGAACCAGCAUUGUGUCGGUGAUUAAAGUCUUCGCGGUAAAAGAUGGGCAUGCGUAGGAUUAGCUAGUUGGCGGGGUAACGGCCCACCAAGGCUACGAUCCUUAGGGGUUCUGAGAGGAAGGUCCCCCACACUGGCACUGAGAUACGGGCCAGACUCCUACGGGAGGCAGCAGUAGGGAAUAUUGGGCAAUGGGCGAGAGCCUGACCCAGCCAUGCCGCGUGCAGGAAGACGGCGUUCUGCGUUGUAAACUGCUUUUAUACGGGAAGAAAAAGCCACUGCGGUGGAAAUUGCCGGUACCGUAUGAAUAAGCACCGGCUAACUCCGUGCCAGCAGCCGCGGUAAUACGGAGGGUGCAAGCGUUGUCCGGAUUUAUUGGGUUUAAAGGGUGCGUAGGCGGCCGAUUAAGUCAGCGGUGAAAGUUUAGGGCUCAACCCUGAAAUUGCCAUUCUUACUGGUUGGCUUGAGUGUUGAUGGGGUACUUGGAAUUGAUGGUGUAGCGGUGAAAUGCAUAGAUACCAUCAGGAACACCGAUAGCGAAGGCAUGGUACUUAUCAACAACUGACGCUGAGGCACGAAAGCGUGGGUAGCGAACAGGAUUAGAUACCCUGGUAGUCCACGCCGUAAACGAUGAUUACUCGCUGUUAUG